CGGACUUAGUGAUCCGGUGGUUCUGCGUGGAAGGGCCAUCGCUCAACGGAUAAAAGCUACCCUGGGGAUAACAGGCUUAUCUCCCCCAAGAGUCCACAUCGACGGGGAGGUUUGGCACCUCGAUGUCGGCUCAUCCCAUCCUGGGGCUGUAGUAGGUCCCAAGGGUUGGGCUGUUCGCCCAUUAAAGUGGUACGCGAGCUGGGUUCAGAACGUCGUGAGACAGUUCGGUCCCUAUCCGUCGCAGGCGUAGGAAAUUUGAGAAGACCUGUCCUUAGUACGAGAGGACCGGGAUGGACGUACCUCUGGUGUACCAGU
RNAcentral lists this ribosomal RNA (315 nucleotides) under Clostridioides difficile. RNAcentral's name for it is "bacterial LSU rRNA". It matches the Rfam family "Bacterial large subunit ribosomal RNA", at positions 2407 to 2721 of the family's 2925-position model. Lineage: Bacteria; Bacillati; Bacillota; Clostridia; Peptostreptococcales; Peptostreptococcaceae. The record is from RNAcentral.